Molecule: ribosomal RNA, 253 nt
Filed under: uncultured bacterium
Lineage: Bacteria
Description: partial 16S ribosomal RNA
Rfam family: Bacterial small subunit ribosomal RNA
Source: RNAcentral
UACGUAGGUGGCAAGCGUUGUCCGGAUUUACUGGGCGUAAAGGGCGUGCAGGCGGUCUGUUUAGUCUAGGGUGAAAGCUCCCGGCUCAACUGGGAGAGGUCCUUGGAUACUGGCAGACUUGAGGGAGGCAGAGGAAAGUGGAAUUCCCGGUGUAGUGGUGAUAUGCGUAGAUAUCGGGAGGAACACCAGUGGCGAAGGCGACUACCUGGCCUGUUCUUGACGCUGAGGCGCGAAAGCUAGGGGAGCAAACGGG